This 449-nucleotide ribosomal RNA is filed under the name uncultured bacterium. RNAcentral's name for it is "bacterial SSU rRNA". It matches the Rfam family "Bacterial small subunit ribosomal RNA", at positions 329 to 795 of the family's 1533-position model. The record is from RNAcentral.
GUCCAGACUCCUACGGGAGGCAGCAGUGGGGAAUAUUGCACAAUGGGGGAAACCCUGAUGCAGCAACGCCGCGUGAGCGAAGAAGUAUUUCGGUAUGUAAAGCUCUAUCAGCGGGGAAGAAAAUGACGGUACCUGAGUAAGAAGCCCCGGCUAACUACGUGCCAGCAGCCGCGGUAAUACGUAGGGGGCAAGCGUUAUCCGGAUUUACUGGGUGUAAAGGGAGCGUAGACGGCAGUGCAAGUCUGGAGUGAAAGGCGGGGGCUCAACCCCCGGACUGCUCUGGAAACUGUACGGCUGGAGUGCAGGAGAGGUAAGUGGAAUUCCUAGUGUAGCGGUGAAAUGCGUAGAUAUUAGGAGGAACACCAGUGGCGAAGGCGGCUUACUGGACUGUAACUGACGUUGAGGCUCGAAAGCGUGGGGAGCAAACAGGAUUAGAUACCCGAGUACCC